CCAGAAAUCCCUCCGUCUUAAAGAAGCACAGAACCUUACCCUCAGUGGAGGAUCAACCCAUAAACAUGACACUGAAUCCAGAGGACAUUGCAGAGAAGACCAUGGGCAUCUAUACAGUCCGAGCAGAGGGUCAUGGUUCUGAUGGAUGCUUUGCUGAUGGUCAUGGUUCUGAUGGACGCUUUGCUGAUGUCGGUGUUGUGCUGGAAGGCGUGGAAGUUCUCCGUAACCUGCAGAGUGUCAGCCAUGCAUGCGUGAUGCUUUAUGGACUGAUCUACGAACUCAACUUGAGCUAUCCAAAAAGCCUGAG
Molecule: long non-coding RNA, 307 nt
Organism: Sphaeramia orbicularis (orbiculate cardinalfish)
Lineage: Eukaryota; Metazoa; Chordata; Actinopteri; Kurtiformes; Apogonidae
Exons: 3
Source: RefSeq, a predicted model, not a curated record